RNAcentral lists this ribosomal RNA (406 nucleotides) under uncultured bacterium. Its description in RNAcentral is "partial 16S ribosomal RNA". It matches the Rfam family "Bacterial small subunit ribosomal RNA", at positions 30 to 526 of the family's 1533-position model. The record is from RNAcentral.
AUUGAACGCUGGCGGCAGGCCUAACACAUGCAAGUCGAACGAGUGGCGGACGGGUGAGUAAUGUCUGGGAAACUGCCUGAUGGAGGGGGAUAACUACUGGAAACGGUAGCUAAUACCGCAUACCAUCAGAUGUGCCCCGAUGGGCUUAGCUAGUGGGUGGGGUAACGGCUCACCAAGGCGACGAUCCCUAGCUGGUCUGAGAGGAUGACCAGCCACACUGGAACGGAGACAAGGUCCAGACUCCUACGGGAGGCAGCAGUGGGGAAUAUUGCACAAUGGGCGCAAGCCUGAUGCAGCCAUGCCGCGUGUAGGAAGAAGGCCUUCGGGUUGUAAAGUACUUUCAGCGGGGAGGCGGUACCCGAAGAAGAAGCACCGGCUAACUCCGUGCCAGCAGCCGCGGUAAUUC